UAGCAGCAGGGUGAGCCAGCCUCUAAAGAUCCAGCUGUUUUGCUGCCUUUCAUAAUUGUCUUGAGGAGUCUCACUAACUCAUCUUUUGGAGCUAUGAGUAAUAAAAAUCAGUUAUGCUUAAGUCAGAUGAUGAAGUUGAGAAUGUGAUUGCAAAAGUACAGAAUGGAAUGGCUGAAAAAGAUUUGGUUGCAGGUCAAAAGAAAAUUAUUUCAGAGAUUGUUGCUAUGAAGGUGGGAAGACCUGUCUCUCUUUCCAAGUUUGGUACCAACUGUGGAGGCCUUUUAUUUUUUUAUUAUUGAUUAUGUUUUGUUUGU
Molecule: long non-coding RNA, 314 nt
Organism: Impatiens glandulifera
Lineage: Eukaryota; Viridiplantae; Streptophyta; Magnoliopsida; Ericales; Balsaminaceae
Exons: 3
Source: RefSeq, a predicted model, not a curated record